CCUCCCCGCCCUUGCAGUGUCCUUUAGUCCUUCGUGAAUAAAUCGAAAUUAAAUGAAGCAAAUGCUUUUUUGAAGGCAAAUUUGGUGCCAAGGACCAUCCUAAGUGAUUCAGAUGGCCUCACAAGCUGCUUUGACCUCAAGCAAACACAGAGGAAUGUGGGGGACACAUCAUAGAAGACACUUCCUGAUGAAGAGGAAGGAGGGAUAAACAGGAACACCGUAAAGAAAAGAAGGGAUCUAAUUCCAGCUUGAAGACACACAUUUUUUUCAUCGUUCACCAGACAGCAGGACACGGGCAGCAGAGUGCAGACAUCAGAAACAGCAGAAGCAACUCAAGUGUUCAACAAAUAAAUGGAUAAGCAAAAUGUGGUAUGACCAUGCCAUGGAAUAUUAUUCUGGCAGAAACAAGAAUGAAGUACUGAUACAUGCUACAACAUGAAUGAACCUUGACAACAUGCUGAGUGAAAUAAGCCAGACACGAAAAGACAAACACAGUGUGAUUGUAUUUAUGUGAAAUAUCUAGAGUAGGCAAAUUCAUAGAGACAGAAAGUAGACUUGAGAUUACCACAGGUUUGGGGGACAGGGAAUCUG
This 591-nucleotide long non-coding RNA is filed under the name Homo sapiens (human). RNAcentral describes it as "HSALNT0357696". Lineage: Eukaryota; Metazoa; Chordata; Mammalia; Primates; Hominidae. The record is from RNAcentral.